GCACACACAGGAUUACACCAAAUUCAGAUUGGGUUUUUUCAUUCUUCGUUCUUUCCUCUCCUCCCUCCCAUUUCGUUUCAUACUCAGCCAGCCGCCAGCCACCAGCCACCGAUUCCAAACCUCUCUCUCAACCAGCACGUCACAGUCACACCCCUCUCUGCCGCCGCUCUUCUCUUAGCCUCUCUCAGUCGUUGCAGGUCAGAUUCUCUCUCUAUCUCUCUCCUUUUUUUUUUCUUUCCCCAAUUCAAUUUUCUGACUCUCUCUGUCUUCCAGCAAAUCGGAGAUCCCAUUCGCUCGCAGCGUCCACCUCUUCAUCUCGUAUAGCUCUCUGUCUCUGUCUCUCUCUCUCAGGUAUUGUUCAUCUCUCUCUCACAGCUCAUCUUCGAUUCUGCGAAAAUUGGAUAGGUCUUAUAUUUUCUAGGGUGCAAUAAUCUAAUGUGAUGUGGGUUUUGGAAUGACAGACAGACAAAGCUUCAAUGCUGGAUGAGAUCAUCGAUUAUGUCAAAUUCCUACAGCUCCAAGUCAAGGUGCUCUUCUUCUUUAUGUUUUUUAUUUUUUAUUUUUUCCCUUUCUGGAGCUGAGUUCAUUAUUUCUUAAUUAAAGAAAAAGAAAGAUUCCCUAGUUGACAUUGUUUGCUGGAUUAAAUAAUGAUAAUCAAAUAAUGGAUUUCUGAGUAAUUUUUUUUAAUUCAUUUUGGGGAAUGGAUGUGAAUUUGUUAUGUUUACACAACAUGUAGGUUCUGAGCAUGAGCAGGUUGGGCAGUGCAGCUGCUGUUGCUCCUCUUGUUGCUGAUGUGUCCUCUGAGGUAAAUUAA
RNAcentral lists this long non-coding RNA (814 nucleotides) under Prunus dulcis (almond). RNAcentral's name for it is "sRNA ncRNA". The record is from RNAcentral. Lineage: Eukaryota; Viridiplantae; Streptophyta; Magnoliopsida; Rosales; Rosaceae.